UUCCGGCGGGGGCGGGGCUUCGGCCUGCUUCCCGGGAUGGCUGCGGACGCUUCCGGAGCAAAAACUCCUGAAACUACAACUCCCAGAAAACCUGACUUAUCAGUCAGUGCAAGAAAAAUUAAGGACAAUGCAGCUGAUUGGCAUAAUUUAAUACUGAAAUGGGAAACCCUCAGUGAUGCAGGUUUUACCACUGCCAAUAACAUCGCCAAUCUGAAAAUCAGCUUACUGAAUAAAGAACAGAUAGAAUUAGAAAACAUCAACCCAGUGUUCAGUGAAAAUGAAGAAAAGAGAUGUCCAGAAGAUGAUAAAGAACUUGAGUCACUGUGCAAGGAACUGCAGGUCACUUUGGAUGGUUUGGCUAAAAUACAGGUGAAAAUGGAAAAGCUAUCUUCAACUACCAAGGGAAUUUGUGAGCUAGAAAAUUAUUAUUAUGGGGAGGAGCACAGACGCCCCCCCCUGUUCCAUACCUGGCCUACCACCUAUUUCUAUGAGGUUUCCCGCCAGCUCUCUGACAUGUACCGGAAGGACCUCCUCCUGAAGCACACAGUGGCUGCAGAGCUGGCACACACGGCCGACCGAGACCUGUCCCUCAGCUACCUGUCCAUGUGGCUACACCAGCCCUAUGUGGAGGGCAGGAGCAAGCUCCUUCUGGAGAGCAUGCUGUGGGAGACAGGCCACCGGGGGCUGUGAUGCCUGACAGACCACACCAACCAAGCCAGGCACCAGACCAGUGGACUCUCCCCUGCCCUCAGAUGGACAGGGCCCCAGGUCUGGCCCUGGGACAAUAUCACCCUCCCCUGCAUGCAUGCGCCCGCACCUGCUGAGAAGUUCCCCCUGAGGCACCUGCAUGAGACUCAGCGCUCCUGAGAGAGGACGCUGAAGAUUCACCACCAUGACGGCCUUCCAAGACAUCCCAAUGUGCUCCCAGACUCCCAUCAGCCCUUGCUCAGCAAAGUUAAACGACUGCUUCUCCUAAGUACUACAGAAGCAAAAGAGCUAAGAGGUGAACAAGGAAUCUGAACCAGGUAUGGUGGUUCAUGCCUGUAGUUCCAGAUACUCAGAAGACUAAGACAAGGAGGAUCACAAGUUGAAGGC
This is an RNA transcript of Dipodomys spectabilis (banner-tailed kangaroo rat), 1095 nucleotides long. It is a transcript of the gene named cyclin dependent kinase 2 interacting protein, with no coding region annotated. The transcript is spliced from 6 exons. NCBI's taxonomy places the organism in Eukaryota, Metazoa, Chordata, Mammalia, Rodentia, Heteromyidae. The record is from RefSeq and is a predicted model, not a curated record.